Bombina bombina (fire-bellied toad) is the source of this 376-nucleotide long non-coding RNA. RefSeq lists it as uncharacterized. NCBI's taxonomy places the organism in Eukaryota, Metazoa, Chordata, Amphibia, Anura, Bombinatoridae. The transcript has 2 exons. The record is from RefSeq and is a predicted model, not a curated record.
CUUGAGGAAUUAAUGACCCUUACUAUAACAAUAGACAGACGUCUUAGGGAACGACAGCAGGAGAGGUCUUAUCACGACACAUACCCAAAGAAACAGACAACACCUCACAUAGUCAAACCUACAUCUGAACCUAUGGACAUAGGUAUGAUAAAAGGUCCUCUGUCGCCUGAGGAAAAGAUCAGGAGAAGAAGAAACAACCUCUGUUUGUAUUGUGCAUCUGAUAACCACACUGUCAAAGAAUGCCCAACUCUCCAGAGGCAAAACAAGGUGGGACCAUCACCGAGUCAACGCUUCCGCGAUAAUUGACUCAGGAGCAACAGCCUCAUAUAUAGAUAAACAAUUCACACAUGUAAAUAAAAUACCUUUGGUGCACAAA